GCAUAUCCGGUUCACUUCCUGGGUGUUACACCUUCCUGUUGAGAAGAUUGUAAUUCUGUCCAUCUUCGUUGUCUGAUAUGAAUGUCCAAGAAGAAGUCAAGUUACUCAUAGAGGAAAUCAAACGUCUCGGCUCGCCCGGUAAGUGAAUUAAGGUCAGACACAAGGACUUGUUCCCUCAAUUAUACAGACACGCCCGGUAAGUGAAUUGAUUUCAGACACAAGGAUUUGUCCCCUCAAUUAUCAUAUACAGAUAUACGUCAAAUUCUUGUGGGUCAGGUACAAAAUGCACUGGCUUAUCUAAAGUAGAUCAAUAAUGUUAGCCUGAUAAUUAACAGACUGGAAUAAGAAAGCAGAGACUCAAGAUUUGCUCCGGAUGUAGUUGUCAGGUCGUUAUAGAAAGGUACUUGUCCCAUUCAACAACUGGGCAUAAAUCCCACUUGUGUUUUUUCAUUAAUAAGUAUCACAUUGUCUUAUGGGUCUGUUAUGAUUUUUAAAUGGUUCGUUUGCCUGAAAAUGUUCACUAUGUUUGAUACACUACAAGAUAGAUUUUUAAUAUCUACUUUAAAUUAACACACCAUUUCAUUUCCUUGGUCAAAAUAUACUCCAUACAUGUGAUCUCGUUUUAUGUGAAGUAUGAGAACUUAAGUGAAAGAAUUCAUCUGCUGAUCAUUUCUUUUUUGAAGUGCAACUUUAUGCCUUUACAAAUACCUAACUACCUGGUCCCUGCGAUUUCACGAUAUACAUCUUAAUUUUGUUUAUGUUUAUCAAGUGUAAGUAAAUUUGUAUUGGUGACACAUUCUUAGUGUUUUCCUGGUACAACGAUUAUUCAAGGAAACUCAUGCUGUUAAGAUAAAGAUUAGGAAUAUUAUUAUUUGAGUUCAUCAUCCUUUAGAAGUACAUUGACAGUAAUCCACAUUACAUAAUAGAUCUCAGAAAUCUGUUAAACUGAAACUAUAAAGUUAUUGGUGAUUAGGAAAGUGAGUCAUAUUUAAGUGAUUUUGAACUUUACAUCAUUCUCCAUUUUAUACAGAAUGAUAGCAGACUAAAGCACCUCUUUAACAGAGUGUCUGAAUUAGAAUUCAGUCAGAUGUUUACAAUUUCACAUCCUCCCUGACGAGACUUCAGCCAAUCCUUUUCUGUUUUAGAUGCAGAAGGAACAGUGUGCGUGGAUUUUGGGACCUUGUUUGCAGACGAAAGAUGUGCCAAUAUUUUUGAGGCCUUGGUAGGAACUCUUCGUGCUGCGAAAAAGAAGAAGAUUUUGACUUAUGAAGGGGAACUUCUUUUGCAAGGAGUCCAUGACAAGGUCUCGAUCAGACUGCUGAAAGAUUCAGUAUGAUGACGGAGAUUAAUAGCUUUAAUUUUCAGGGCACACAUUGUAUAAUAUUGCCUGUGCAAAGUGAUAUUUUUAGAAUUUUUGUAUUUCUCUGAAAGUGCAAUAUAUUUUAGGUAUUGUAUUAUAAAAGCUUGUACAGUGUUCAUUAAAUGUUGACAUUUUCAAACUCUGUCACUUACAAGUAAUAAUGUCAGUAACUGGUAAAUGAAAGUCUGCAAGGUUAUGAGGGGUGCGACACAAAUUAUGCAAGUUGAUUUGAAGAAAGGUACAUUUAUGUAUGUGAUAAUUUGUGAAAUGUUUUUAGAAUUUUAUUUUUUUGCAGACAUGAAACAAUGAUUGUUAAGAAAAAAUUUAAAUGAUUUGCAGUGGAAGAAUUUUUUCCAUGCAACAUGAAUACAAGAAUAUUUGACUGCAUUUGUACAUGUAAACUGAUAAUCAUCAAAACCUGCAUCAGGGAAUUUUAUCAGCCAUCCUGUGCAAUUCUAGAGAACAAAUGAAAAUGUUAAGUUUUUAUAUUUUUGCUAAGCUGUGCUAUUGUUUUAUUUUUUUCUUAAAAUUUUGACAAUAAACUUUAAAUAAUUAA
Molecule: long non-coding RNA, 1916 nt
Organism: Ostrea edulis (European flat oyster)
Lineage: Eukaryota; Metazoa; Mollusca; Bivalvia; Ostreida; Ostreidae
Exons: 2
Source: RefSeq, a predicted model, not a curated record